RNAcentral lists this ribosomal RNA (57 nucleotides) under Trichoderma viride. Its description in RNAcentral is "partial 28S ribosomal RNA". The record is from RNAcentral. Lineage: Eukaryota; Fungi; Ascomycota; Sordariomycetes; Hypocreales; Hypocreaceae.
GUAGUUUGCACAACUCGCACCGGGAGCGCGGCUCGUCCACGUCCGUAAAACACCCAA